Setaria italica (foxtail millet) is the source of this 810-nucleotide long non-coding RNA. RefSeq lists it as uncharacterized. The transcript has 2 exons. NCBI's taxonomy places the organism in Eukaryota, Viridiplantae, Streptophyta, Magnoliopsida, Poales, Poaceae. The record is from RefSeq and is a predicted model, not a curated record.
CCAUCAGGCAUCAGCUCUUCUAAUCCCCUGUAACCACCGCCGGCAUCCCCUGCUUACACUCUCUCCAUCUCACUGCCUCGGUGGAUCCAUUGCCGCUUGCCGGAGCACAGGCGGCACACGCCUAAACAAGCAAUGGCCAGACACAGGUUGCUGCCCCGCCGUGCCAGUCUCGUAGUACUACUACUUCUCGUCGGACUCCUUCUGAGCUCCUCGACGGUGGCGCGCGCCGUUGCGACGCCGACGCCGGAGAGCCACAGGUGGAGCCGGAAGUUGCUAGUGACCGCGCCGCGGGUGUCACCGGACACGCGGUCGUCAGGGUCGAAGCAGGAGAUGGACGUCAGCGGGUGGCGGUGGACGACGCCGUUCAGGAGGGCCGGUGCCAGCCUCGGCCGCCGUGUGCCGGGGUCCCACGCGAACCCGUCUCACAACUAGCACUCAGCAGUGUAGAGGUGCGGACGGACCCGCGGAACGGCGAGCGUCCACGGCGGCGAGAUCGAUCGAUGAUCCACCCGGGCGGCGCUGGAACCAGGGGCGCGCCGGCCGCCGGCCCGGUGUGGUUGGCAGAGAAUGUAGCUAGCUGACUAGGUCUGUGUGCAUGUAUCUGUACAAUUUAGUUCACCUGACACAAUUUUGGCUUGCAAAGAUUAGGAGCUGACAGUAGCAGUUCCCUGUUGAGAUGAUAGAGAGGCACGCUCUCUCUUUUGGUUCUGUGUAGUUAUGAGUUCUGACAAACUAUAUGCUCCCUUGCUCUGUUCAGACUUGUGUGUGUUGGCACAGCUGCAACAUGCAAUCAAACCUGCAGUUCUUUCC